Molecule: ribosomal RNA, 468 nt
Filed under: uncultured bacterium
Lineage: Bacteria
Description: partial 16S ribosomal RNA
Rfam family: Bacterial small subunit ribosomal RNA
Source: RNAcentral
GACGAACGCUGGCGGCGUGCUUAACACAUGCAAGUCGAACGGAAAGGCCCUGCUUCUGUGGGGUGCUCGAGUGGCGAACGAGUGAGUAACACGUGAGUAACCUGCCCUUGACUUUGGGAUAACUUCAGGAAACUGGGGCUAAUACCGGAUAGGAGCUCCUGUUGCAUGGUGGGGGUUGGAAAGUUUGGGCGGAUGGGGAUGGACUCGCGGCUUAUCAGCUUGUUGGUGGGGUAGUGGCUUACCAAGGCUUUGACGGGUGGCCGGCCUGAGUGGGUGAUCGGGCACAUUGGGACUGGGAUACCGCCCAGACUCCUACGGGAGGCAAGAGUGGGGGAUAUUGCACAAUGGGCGGAAGCCUGAUGCAGCAACGCCGCGGGCGGGGUGACGGCCUUCGUGUUGUAGUCCGCUUUCGCCUGUGAGGAAGCGUGAGUGACAGGAAUGGGUAAAGAAGCACCGGCUAACUACGUG